Molecule: non-coding RNA, 182 nt
Filed under: Lysinibacillus fusiformis
Lineage: Bacteria; Bacillati; Bacillota; Bacilli; Caryophanales; Bacillaceae
Description: FMN riboswitch (RFN element)
Rfam family: FMN riboswitch aptamer (RFN element)
About the family: The RFN element is a highly conserved domain that is found frequently in the 5'-untranslated regions of prokaryotic mRNAs that encode for flavin mononucleotide (FMN) biosynthesis and transport proteins. This element is a metabolite-dependent riboswitch that directly binds FMN in the absence of proteins. In Bacillus subtilis, the riboswitch most likely controls gene expression by causing premature transcription termination within the 5' untranslated region of the ribDEAHT operon and precluding access to the ribosome-binding site of ypaA mRNA.
Source: RNAcentral
CAUCUUCGGGGCAGGGUGAAAAUCCCGACCGGCGGUAAUAGAGUCAUAAAUCGCUAAUGAAUAUAUUCAUUAGCUCGCUUGAUUUAUGUUAAACUCUUCAGCCCGCGACCUGUGCGAAUUUUCGCAUGGCUGACUUGGUGAAAUUCCAAGGCCGACAGUUAAAGUCUGGAUGGGAGAAGAUG